GUGGCUUAUUAAUCCCAUUGCUUUUUGUUUUUUUCUUUCAGGCAGACUUCUUUAUGACAUACAUCUUGACAAAUGGGCUGGCAGGAUUUUCCCUGGAGACAUAUUGAUUCAUAUAUCACUCAUAAGGGCAUCUUGACAAGCAUAGAUCAGACAUAUUGAAAAUUGUCAAGGAUGGUAUUGAGUAUGCUUUUGUUGAUGCUCCAAAGCAGCUAUCUUUUUUGGAUGGGGCUGUGGUCCAUUUUGUUUCCAAACUUCCUACACCUGAUAUCCUUGAAAUUUUGAAGGAUGUCCAAAAACGAACAGAGAACGUGAAUACAGAGGUAGAUCCUAGUGGAUGGCGCCCCUAUCACACGUUUGUAGACAGUUUAAAAGAAAAGUAUGCGAAAAAUGAAGGUUUCCAAG
This is a non-coding RNA of Camellia sinensis, 402 nucleotides long. NCBI's taxonomy places the organism in Eukaryota, Viridiplantae, Streptophyta, Magnoliopsida, Ericales, Theaceae. The record is from RefSeq and is a predicted model, not a curated record.